This 1769-nucleotide long non-coding RNA is filed under the name Homo sapiens (human). RNAcentral's name for it is "HSALNT0299532". The record is from RNAcentral. Lineage: Eukaryota; Metazoa; Chordata; Mammalia; Primates; Hominidae.
CCUCACUUCCUCUUUCUGUUCAUAAACAUUCUUCCACGACGUGCUGUGCUGGAAUCCCUGAGCCUGCUCUGGCCUGGGAGGCUGCCUGAUUUGUCCAGGAUCCAGUCCAGGAGCAUGCAUUACAUUUAGUUGUCACAUGUCCGAAUAGAAGGAAGGAGAUUCCCUUCAAUAUGGAAUAAUUUCUUAGUCUUUCCCUGUCUUCCACAUCCUUCCGUUUUUUGUUUUUGUUUUUAUUUUGAGACAGUCUCACUCUGUCACCCAGGCUGGAGUACAGUGGGGUGAUCAUGGCUCACUAUAGCCUUGACUUCUCCAGGCUCAGGUGAUCCUCCUACCUCAGCCUCCUGAGUAUCUGGGACUACAGGCGUGUGCCACCACACUCGGCUAAUUUUUGCUUUUUUUUGUAGAACAGAGUUUCAAGUUGCUCAGGCUGGUCUCAAACUCCUGGGCUCAAGUGAUCCACCCACCUUGGCCUCCCAAAGUGCUGGGAUUACAGGCACGACCCACUGCAACUGGCCCCACAUCCUUCAGUUUUUAAGAGUGCAGGCCUUUUGUUAUGUAGGAUGGCCCUAGACCUGGUUCCAUCUAAUAUUUCAUUUUGGUCAGACCUCGCCAUGAUUUCUUGACAGGAAAAUGAUGGACAGGAUCCUGGGCUCUGCACAUUACAGCAUAUGAUGUGGUCUUGUCUCAUCACUGGUGAUGUUAAUCUUGAUUGCUUGGUCAUGUUGGUGUCUUCCAUAUUUCUCCUCCAUUGAGUCACCAUUUUCACCUUUGCAAUUGAUAAGCAUUUUGUGGGGAGAUUUUCUAAAAUUAUGCUAAAAUCCUGAUCCUUAACAACUUCUACCCAUCAGCCUUAAUAUUUGUGGAUGAUCCCUAUCUGAAUAAAUUAUAACCAUAAUAGUGUCAUAUGGUGGUUUGCUAUUUUCAUCAUUCCUUCUACAUUAAUUACUUGGUAUUCUACUGUAAGAAAGAAGUUCCACUGCUUCCUCUAUUUAUUUACUUAUUUAUUCAUUUAUUUAGUAGUAUGAAUUUCAAUUUAACAGGUUAAAAACCAUGCUUGUUCUUUGUGAAAGUAUAUAACGUUAUUAUCUUUAUCAGAGAAGAAAUGGUUCUGAACUUCUCAAGAAAGUAUACAAGCAGUAUAAAAAUGAGAUAAUUACACUUACUUAACAUACCUUAUUUUCAUCCAAAUAAACACGAAAAGAAUCCAACAUGAUAUUUGAAAUUCUACCAUAGGGUAUUUUACUAGAAAAAUAGAAUCUUGUGUUUUUGGUAAUGUUUGUUCAUAUCACAAAAUUACUGAGAAGCGAAACAUUUCUAAAUUCACAUUAGAACAUUGUAAUUCACAUUUGUGUUAGAAUGAUGGUUACCAGAGUCUGGGAAGGGUAGUGGAGUAGUAGAAUGGGGGAUGGUUAUUGGAUAUGAAAAUAUAGUUAGUUAGAAUGAAUAAGAUCUAGUAUUUGAUAGCACAACAGGGUAACUACAGUCAACAAUAAUUUAUUGUACAUUUAAAAAUAACUAUAAGACUAUAAUUAGAUUGUAACACAAAGAAAGGAUAAAUGUUUGAAGUGAUAGAUACCCCAUUUAUCCUGAUGUGAUUAUUACACAUUGUAUGCUUGUAUCAAAAUAUCUCAUGUACGCCAUACAUAUAUAUGCCUACUGUGUACUCACAAAAAUUAAAAAUUGUAAAAAUAAAUAAACAAAACAAAACAAAAUUGUUUGAUAUUUCUUUUAUAAAUUCCCUUUCACAAAUCUUUUCAUGACUUACACAG